RNAcentral lists this microRNA precursor (57 nucleotides) under Pteropus alecto (black flying fox). Lineage: Eukaryota; Metazoa; Chordata; Mammalia; Chiroptera; Pteropodidae. The record is from RNAcentral.
CACUUAGAAAGGUUCAGAUCACUUAGACUAUGUGUAAUUUGGGCCUUUCUGAGUAGA